Molecule: ribosomal RNA, 428 nt
Filed under: uncultured bacterium
Lineage: Bacteria
Description: bacterial SSU rRNA
Rfam family: Bacterial small subunit ribosomal RNA
Source: RNAcentral
GUUAGGAAUUUUGCGCAAUGGACGAAAGUCUGACGCAGCAACGCCGCGUGAGGGAUGAAGGCCUUCGGGUUGUAAACCUCUUUUAGUCGGGACGAAACAAAUGACGGUACCGACAGAAACAGCACCGGCUAACCCUGUGCCAGCAGCCGCGGUAAUACAGGGGGUGCAAGCGUUACUCGGAAUUACUGGGCGUAAAGAGCGUGUAGGCGGCUUGGCAAGUUUGGUGUGAAAGCCCUGGGCUCAAUCCAGGAAGUGCAUUGAAUACUGCCGAGCUAGAGUAUAGGAGAGGUGAGCGGAAUUCCCGGUGUAGAGGUGAAAUUCGUAGAUAUCGGGAGGAACAACAGAGGCGAAGGCGGCUCACUGGACUAUUACUGACGCUAAGGCGCGAAAGCGUGGGGAGCAAACAGGAUUAGAUACCCUGGUAGUCC